AGUGAACGCUGGCGGUAGGCCUAACACAUGCAAGUCGAACGGCAGCACAGGAGAGCUUGCUCUCUAGGUGGCGAGUGGCGGACGGGUGAGGAAUACAUCGGAAUCUGCCCAGUCGUGGGGGAUAACGUAGGGAAACUUACGCUAAUACCGCAUACGACCUUCGGGUGAAAGAGGGGGAUCGCAAGACCUCUCGCGAUUGGAUGAGCCGAUGUCGGAUUAGCUAGUUAGCGGGGUAAUGGCCCACCAAGGCGACGAUCCGUAGCUGGUCUGAGAGGAUGAUCCGCCACACUGGAACUGAAACACGGUCCAGACUACUACGGGAGGCAGCAGUGGGGAAUGUUAGACAAUGGGCGGGAGCCUGAUCCAACCAUACCGCGUGGGUGAAGAAAGCCUUCGGGUUGUGAAGCCCUUUUGUUGGGAAAGAAAUCUUUCAGGCUAAUACCCUGGGAGGAUGACGGUACCCAAAGAAUAAGCACCGGCUAACUUCGUG
RNAcentral lists this ribosomal RNA (490 nucleotides) under uncultured bacterium. RNAcentral's name for it is "partial 16S ribosomal RNA". It matches the Rfam family "Bacterial small subunit ribosomal RNA", at positions 29 to 507 of the family's 1533-position model. The record is from RNAcentral.